GCUUGUUGGAGGCAUCCCUGUAAGGGUGAAGCAUCACAGCAUCGGUCACCGUCACCACCUACACGAAGAGCAGUGUUCUCCUCUCAGCCAGCCUACACAGGUGCUACUGGAACCACUCCUUUCAAGUUCUUUUCAUCCAGCUCACUCCCUGCUCAAGAGUAUGUGCCUGCCAUGACUCUCCCUCCUGGAGCCGGCCCGGACUGGCCAUCGACUCACCAGACCCCUCCCAGCUCUGCAGCAGGAACCCUCUGCUCCAGGUAGCCACAAACGGGCCUCCUUUCAUUUACCAUUUCUUUAACCUUCAACAAGUCCCUCCCUCCUCCUGGCUAUUCAUCAAGCUUGGCAUCCUCUCAACGCUCUUUGCUGAAAACGCACCUUCUGCAUGCAGGUAGACACCUCACCCCCACCCCCCGCUCAUGUCAAUGUCAUCCCUUUUCCAUUAUUCACACCUCUCCUUGUUAGCCAGGAGUUCACGGUGUUUGAAGAUACGACUUUUUAAAAAAUCUGUGGGUUCUGUAUAUCUCUAUACCCUCAACUAGACUGUAAAGAGCUGCUGUGCAGAGUCCAGCCCUGGGACUGGGAGAGCAUCUCAGCUGGGAGGAGGGUGGUGGGGUGAAGAAAGCUUCUAAUGGACACAGGACAGUGCUGACCACCCAUGGAAGCCUCAAACCCCAUUUCCCUACAAGUAACUCUUCUAUUUGACUAUCAGCACCACAGGAUCCUUAACCCUGGACUGAGCAGGUUGUGUAGGGCCAGAGCCUCACCUUAUUUAGAUUCAAGUGCUUUCUGACAGAUGUGUACUGAGUAUCUAUUGUGGCAGAAUCCAGUGUAGGGACCCCAAGGGGAGGGGAAUCGGAGAGAGCUUUACAGAGGAGGAGAUGCCUGUUCUGGGGAGAAAGAAAUUCACCAGCUAGAUGGAAUGGGUGGGCAGGGGAGGAGAGAAAACAGCUAGUACUGACUUCCUUGUCUGUAACAGGCAGAUACACCAACUCUUCAGCUUUAGAGAAAAUGUAUUAAGUCAUAUUAACAGUGCUGGCCACAUUCAGUAGGGGCAGGGGAGAUAAGUACGUGAUAGCUAUUACUACUAUUAAAUAAUUUAAUUUUAAACAGCUUGGCUGCAAAGAGAGAAAAGGUGACAGCUAGAGGGGGAUGAGGGGCUGCAUUUUUUAAGAUGCGAAAGCCUCGAAUGUGAAAGGUUACCAAUAAAAGCAGAGAGGCUGAAGUUACAGGAAAGGAUCAACUGAUGGAACACAAGCCCCCAGGAGGAGAAGACCCCGAGUUCCUGGGCUGGGCGUGGCCUGGCAGCAGCUCACCUGGUAUCUGAUGCGACUGUGGCCAAAUGCCAGAGGCCGGCCCUCCUACUUCUUGAUCACUCUUCCAUCAUCAACUUUAGGCCACUUCACUGGCACCUGCAGUCAGGCUUCCAAGACAGCCCAGGAUGAGUGUAAGAAGAGCU
Physeter macrocephalus (sperm whale) is the source of this 1456-nucleotide long non-coding RNA. RefSeq lists it as uncharacterized. The record is from RefSeq and is a predicted model, not a curated record. Lineage: Eukaryota; Metazoa; Chordata; Mammalia; Artiodactyla; Physeteridae. The transcript is spliced from 3 exons.